UGUUCCUCUUCUUGUUUUCUAUAAAGAGUUAUGAAACAUCGAAGCAUCCUUCUCGUUCAGAUUAUGAAUCAAAGUCGUUACAUCGAAUCAUUGGUUUACUAAACGAUAACAGUGGUUUGAUUUGCAUAACUGAAGCCAUUGAGGCUUUCUAUUGGUUGGAUUGGGUAUGUUGAGGCACAUCCUUUGGAAGUUUCAACUCGAUCCUUUAGUUUUGGGUUUGUGGUGCUGGCUGGCUACAACGUUGUUACGGUGAAGAACAUGGCCUCUUAAUUAUGACCUUUGCCAUUGUCGUUGGAAAUUUGAUGCACACUUGCCUAAAUCGUUGAUUCAAUAUGUGGAUUACUGUUUCAAUUUGCUAUGUUGCGAUCCAUGUGGCCUUGGUGUUUACAGAUCUUAUCUUUUUCCCAGUAGGCGGAAACCUUUGGCAGCUUUUAGUGCUAAAGAUUUUAUGCAGGUUACUCUAGGCUCUUGGUGGUGGAGACAACGAUGUCCAUGGUGGCUAUAUCAUAUCAUGGGAUUUGCAACCAAGCCUUUGUUGUCCUUGCUACCCACACACUUAUGUGGUCCUGCAACCCACGCCUCCUACUACGUUUGUACUCGUGUCUUCCUUGUGGACACGUCAUCGUCUUUAGUUAAGUUUUAAGUAUUUGUUCUGUAGCAUUUUGAGAGGGUUAGAUUAGUAGAUUCUGUGUAGUUGUUGUGAUAUGUUUGUGUUAUGCGAUUUAUGUGGUUUCGUUGUCGAUAGCUUUAUGUCAGGGUAUCAGUUUUAGGACUGUCGCAUCUACUAUCUGUAAUGCCCUAGAAAAUUUAAAAUAUAUGAAAAUAUAGAAAAAUUUAUCGAUAA
Molecule: long non-coding RNA, 844 nt
Organism: Malus domestica (apple)
Lineage: Eukaryota; Viridiplantae; Streptophyta; Magnoliopsida; Rosales; Rosaceae
Source: RefSeq, a predicted model, not a curated record